Long non-coding RNA from Diceros bicornis minor, 259 nucleotides. RefSeq lists it as uncharacterized. Lineage: Eukaryota; Metazoa; Chordata; Mammalia; Perissodactyla; Rhinocerotidae. The record is from RefSeq and is a predicted model, not a curated record. The transcript has 3 exons.
UUUCUCUUGUUACUGCACCAACCACAGACUGUAAAGGGGCAAGGAAUGGAGUAAGAAGACCAGUUAGGAGGCUACUGCAAUAAUCUAGCUGACUGAAAUAAAUAGAGGAAAGGAAGCAGCUGCAAAAAUUCUGGAAAAAAUAUCAUUCUUCAACACAUCUGAGUGGUGAGAUGGAAUGACUAAAGAUGAAAAUUCAAGAUGGCAACAUUUGAACAUAAAGGCUUAAAGGAAAAGCAACGGAGAAUCACGACAUUGGUAA